UGGCUGGCUGCUCUGGCGGGGGUUCCUUUCUGGCGAGCCGUCAUGCCCUUUACUGGGUGUGGCGGGGAGCCAGGACUUUUACUUUGAAAAAAUUAGAGUGUUUAAAGCAGGCCUACGCUUGAAUACAUUAGCAUGGAAUAAUAGAAUAGGACCUCGGUUCUAUUUUGUUGGUUUCUAGGACCGAAGUAAUGAUUAAUAGGGAUAGUUGGGGGCAUUAGUAUUUAGUAGCUAGAGGUGAAAUUCUUGGAUUUACGAAAGACUAACUUCUGCGAAAGCAUUUGCCAAGGAUGUUUUCAUUAAUCAAGAACGAAAGUUAGGGGAUCGAAGACGAUCAGAUACCGUCGUAGUCUUAACCAUAAACUAUGCCGACUAGGGAUCAGACGAUGUUAAUUUACUGACUCGUUUGGCACCUUAUGAGAAAUCAAAGUUUUUGGGUUCCGGGGGGAGUAUGGUCGCAAGGCUGAAACUUAAAGGAAUUGACGGAAGGGCACCACCAGGAGUGGAGCCUGCGGCUUAAUUUGACUCAACACGGGGAAACUCACCAGGUCCAGACAUAGGAAGGAUUGACAGAUUGAGAGCUCUUUCUUGAUUCUAUGGGUGGUGGUGCAUGGCCGUUCUUAGUUGGUGGAGUGAUUUGUCUGCUUAAUUGCCGUUAACAAACGAGACCUUAACCUGCUAAAUAGUUAUGCCAACAUUCGUUGGUAGCCAACUUCUUAGAGGGACUGUCGGCGAUUAGCCGACGGAGUUUAGGCAAUAACAG
This 760-nucleotide ribosomal RNA is filed under the name Mucoromycotina sp. RNAcentral describes it as "SSU rRNA". It matches the Rfam family "Eukaryotic small subunit ribosomal RNA", at positions 674 to 1459 of the family's 1831-position model. The record is from RNAcentral. Lineage: Eukaryota; Fungi; Mucoromycota.